This 301-nucleotide ribosomal RNA is filed under the name uncultured bacterium. RNAcentral describes it as "partial 16S ribosomal RNA". It matches the Rfam family "Bacterial small subunit ribosomal RNA", at positions 509 to 807 of the family's 1533-position model. The record is from RNAcentral.
CAGCAGCCGCGGUAAUACGGAGGAUCCAAGCGUUAUCCGGAUUUAUUGGGUUUAAAGGGUGCGUAGGUGGCCUGCUAAGUCAGGGGUGAAAGACGGUAGCUCAACUAUCGCAGUGCCCUUGAUACUGAUGGGCUUGAAUGAACUAGAGGUAGGCGGAAUGUGACAAGUAGCGGUGGAACGCAUAGAUAUGUCACAGAACACCAAUUGCGAAGGCAGCUUACUAUGGUUUGAUUGACACUGAGGCACGAAAGCGUGGGGAUCAAACAGGAUUAGAUACCCCUGUAGUCCCUGUCUCUUAUAC